This 430-nucleotide ribosomal RNA is filed under the name uncultured bacterium. RNAcentral describes it as "partial 16S ribosomal RNA". It matches the Rfam family "Bacterial small subunit ribosomal RNA", at positions 338 to 795 of the family's 1533-position model. The record is from RNAcentral.
CCUACGGGUGGCAGCAGUCGAGAAUCUUUCACAAUGGGGGAAACCCUGAUGGAGCGACGCCGCGUGGAGGAUAAGGUCUUCGGAUUGUAAACUCCUGUCAUGGAGAACCUAGUAUCGCAAGAGGAAGAGACGGCUAACUCUGUGCCAGCAGCCGCGGUAAUACAGAGGUCUCAAGCGUUGUUCGGAAUCACUGGGCGUAAAGGGUGCGUAGGUGGCGGGGAAAGUCAGAUGUGAAAUCCGGAGGCUCAACCUCCGAAUUGCAUCCGAUACUCCCUCGCUAGAGGGUUGUAGGGGAGCUUGGAAUUCUCGGUGUAGCAGUGAAAUGCGUAGAUAUCGAGAAGAACGCUCGCAGCGAAGGCGAAGCUCUGGGCACUCUGACACUGAUGCACGAAGGCUAGGGGAGCAAACGGGAUUAGAUACCCUUGUAGUC